AACGAACGCUGGCGGCAGGCUUAACACAUGCAAGUCGAGCGCGUAGCGAUACGAGCGGCAGACGGGUGAGUAACGCGUGGGAAUCUACCGUACCCUACGGAAUAGCUCUGGGAAACUGGAGGUAAUACCGUAUACGCCCUAACGGGGAAAGAUUUAUCGGGGUAUGAUGAGCCCGCGUUGGAUUAGCUAGUUGGUGGGGUAAAGGCCUACCAAGGCGACGAUCCAUAGCUGGUCUGAGAGGAUGAUCAGCCACAUUGGGACUGAGACACGGCCCAAACUCCUACGGGAGGCAGCAGUGGGGAGUAUUGGACAAUGGGCGCAAGCCUGAUCCAGCCAUGCCGCGUGAGUGAUGAAGGUCUUAGGAUUGUAAAGCUCUUUCACCGAUGAAGAUAAUGACGGUAGUCGGAGAAGAAGCCCCGGCUAACUUCGUGCCAGCCGCCGCCGUAA
RNAcentral lists this ribosomal RNA (447 nucleotides) under uncultured bacterium. RNAcentral's name for it is "partial 16S ribosomal RNA". It matches the Rfam family "Bacterial small subunit ribosomal RNA", at positions 29 to 523 of the family's 1533-position model. The record is from RNAcentral.